AACGAACGCUGGCGGCAGGCUUAACGCAUGCAAGUCGAGCGAUCGCAGCAAUGCGGGAGCGGCAGACGGGUGAGUAACGCGUGGGAACGUACCCUCCGGUUCGGAAUAACUCAGGGAAACUUGAGCUAAUACCGGAUACGGCUUAGCGGCGAAAGAUUUAUCGCCGGAGGAUCGGCCCGCGUUCGAUUAGCUAGUUGGUGAGGUAACGGCUCACCAAGGCGACGAUCGAUAGCUGGUCUGAGAGGAUGAUCAGCCACAUUGGGACUGAGACACGGCCCAAACUCCUACGGGAGGCAGCAGUGGGGAAUAUUGGACAAUGGGCGCAAGCCUGAUCCAGCCAUGCCGCGUGAGUGAUGACGGCCUUAGGGUUGUAAAGCUCUUUCGCUAGGGAC
Molecule: ribosomal RNA, 392 nt
Filed under: uncultured bacterium
Lineage: Bacteria
Description: bacterial SSU rRNA
Rfam family: Bacterial small subunit ribosomal RNA
Source: RNAcentral